Molecule: ribosomal RNA, 457 nt
Filed under: uncultured bacterium
Lineage: Bacteria
Description: partial 16S ribosomal RNA
Rfam family: Bacterial small subunit ribosomal RNA
Source: RNAcentral
CUACGGGUUGCUCCAGUAGGGAAUUUUCGGCAAUGGGGGAAACCCUGACCGAGCAACGCCGCGUGAAUGACGAAGUACUUCGGUAUGUAAAGUUCUUUUAUCAGGGAAGAAUGACUUAUGGAAAAAUAAGUGUGACGGUACCUGAUGAAUAAGCCCCGGCUAACUAUGUGCCAGCAGCCGCGGUAAUACAUAGGGGGCAAGCGUUAUCCGGAAUUAUUGGGCGUAAAGGGUGCGUAGGUGGUUAGAUAAGUCUUAGGUGUAAGUGCAGAGCUUAACUCUGUGAUGCUAGAGAAACUGUCUGACUUGAGUGUGGUAGAGGCAAGUGGAAUUCCAUGUGUAGCGGUAAAAUGCGUAAAUAUAUGGAGGAACACCAGUGGCGAAGGCGGCUUGCUGGGCCAUAACUGACACUGAGGCACGAAAGCGUGGGGAGCAAACAGGAUUAGAUACCCGCGUAGUC